RNAcentral lists this ribosomal RNA (253 nucleotides) under uncultured bacterium. RNAcentral describes it as "partial 16S ribosomal RNA". It matches the Rfam family "Bacterial small subunit ribosomal RNA", at positions 524 to 776 of the family's 1533-position model. The record is from RNAcentral.
UACGUAGGGUGCAAGCGUUAAUCGGAAUUACUGGGCGUAAAGCGUGCGCAGGCGGUUUUGUAAGUCUGUCGUGAAAUCCCCGGGCUCAACCUGGGAAUGGCGAUGGAGACUGCAAGGCUAGAGUUUGGCAGAGGGGGGUAGAAUUCCACGUGUAGCAGUGAAAUGCGUAGAUAUGUGGAGGAACACCGAUGGCGAAGGCAGCCCCCUGGGUCAAAACUGACGCUCAUGCACGGAAGCGUGGGGAGCAAACAGG